This 73-nucleotide transfer RNA is filed under the name Stegodyphus mimosarum. It matches the Rfam family "tRNA". From Rfam's summary of the family: Transfer RNA (tRNA) molecules are approximately 80 nucleotides in length. Their secondary structure includes four short double-helical elements and three loops (D, anti-codon, and T loops). Lineage: Eukaryota; Metazoa; Arthropoda; Arachnida; Araneae; Eresidae. The record is from Rfam by way of RNAcentral.
GCCUUCGUGGUGUAGUGGUCAGUACGCUUGACGCGUAACCGAGAGGUCCGUGGUUCGAUUCCCGGCGAAGGCG